CUACGGGCGGCAGCAGUAGGGAAUAUUGGACAAUGGGCGAAAGCCUGAUCCAGCAACACCGCGUGCACGAUGACGGCCUUCGGGUUGUAAAGUGCUUUUAGAGGAGAUGAGAAAGGACAGUAUCCUCUGAAUAAGCCUCGGCGAACUACGUGCCAGCAGCCGCGGUAAAACGUAGGAGGCAAGCGUUAUCCGGAUUUAUUGGGCGUAAAGCGCGUGCAGGCGGUCUAGCAAGUUGGAUGUGAAAGCUCCCGGCUCAACUGGGAGAGGUCGUUCAAUACUGUUAGACUAGAGAAUAGGAGAGGGAGGUGGAAUUCCGGGUGUAGUGGUGAAAUGCGUAGAUAUCCGGAGGAACACCAGUGGCGAAAGCGGCCUCCUGGACUAUUUCUGACGCUAAGACGCGAAAGCUAGGGUAGCAAACGGGAUUAGAUACCCGUGUAGUC
RNAcentral lists this ribosomal RNA (440 nucleotides) under uncultured bacterium. Its description in RNAcentral is "partial 16S ribosomal RNA". It matches the Rfam family "Bacterial small subunit ribosomal RNA", at positions 339 to 795 of the family's 1533-position model. The record is from RNAcentral.